CCGACCGCUAGACUACACUCCUCCACCGAGCACCGUCAGGUGGAGACAGUUUAAUAACACUCCUCCACCGAGCACCCGUCAGGUGGAGACAGUUUAAUAACACUCCUCCACCGAGCUCCGUCAGGUGGGGACAGUUUAAUAACACUCCUCCACCGAGCUCCGUCAGGUGGAGACAGUUUAAUAACACUCCUCCACCGAGCUCCGUCAGGUGGGGACAGUUUAAUGACACUCCUCCACCGAGCUCCGUCAGGUGGGGACAGUUUAAUAACACUCCUCCACCGAGCUCCGUCAGGUGGAGACAGUUUAAUAACACUCCUCCACCGAGCUCCGUCAGGUGGAGACAGUUUAAUAACACUCCUCCACCGAGCUCCGUCAGGUGGGGAC
Molecule: long non-coding RNA, 384 nt
Organism: Ictalurus punctatus (channel catfish)
Lineage: Eukaryota; Metazoa; Chordata; Actinopteri; Siluriformes; Ictaluridae
Source: Ensembl